Long non-coding RNA from Hibiscus syriacus, 620 nucleotides. RefSeq lists it as uncharacterized. The transcript is spliced from 4 exons. NCBI's taxonomy places the organism in Eukaryota, Viridiplantae, Streptophyta, Magnoliopsida, Malvales, Malvaceae. The record is from RefSeq and is a predicted model, not a curated record.
CAGUUUAUGGACUUUUGGCUCUCUUUCAUGGCUUGUAGUGACCACCUUUGUAUACCUCACAAUGAUGAUGAAGCCCUUAAAAGGGCAAUCCACACAGCUGCGGCUAUCAUUACUUCCCUGAUGGCUGUAACGAAGGCAACCAGCACAUCCAAUAUUAUCAUUGUGUGGCAAUCGGGGCAAUCGGUCUUCUUCUUGGGUGGAUGAUAGAGUUCUCUACCAAUAUCGACCGCUUUCCUGUUCAACGAAUUUAUGUUUAAGCAGGCUCAAAAGAUGGCCGAGCACGGAAUGGGUGCUGAAUAUUGUGAACACUGUAAAGAAACAAUAUCGAUUGGAUUUCAUGUUUGCUGGUUUUAUUGGAUUAGCCAUGGCAGCACUAAGCUGGAACCUCGAAAGCAGUGAAACUUACUGGAUUUGGCACAGUAUUUGGCAUCUCACCAUAUAUUCGUGUUCUUUCUUCUUCCUCCGUUCAAAAGUAACAGCCGUAAAUAGCAGGAAUGAAACACCGACCAACAGAAACUACCAGUUAACUCGGCGGGAUUCUUUCUCUCGAGGUAUAGGAAGAGGGAAGAAUUCUCAUAGAAUUGAAGUUCAAAUAAGAAUGAAAUAAGUUCUUUUCUAGA